RNA transcript from Myotis myotis, 1999 nucleotides. It is a transcript of the gene named aminoacylase 3, with no coding region annotated. Lineage: Eukaryota; Metazoa; Chordata; Mammalia; Chiroptera; Vespertilionidae. The transcript is spliced from 8 exons. The record is from RefSeq and is a predicted model, not a curated record.
AGGGCAGUCCCCGCAUGCCCCUCUCCGGCGGCCCCUGGUUGGUAGAGCAGUCACAUGACUGCAUCCUGGCUGCCAGGGAGGCUGCGAGCAGGUGCAGCCUCCUGCCCUGAGGAGGCUGUUCUAGAGCCACAGAUGUGACAGACAGCCGAGCUGCCUGGCUGGGACUCUGGGACCCGUCACACCUCAGGGAGCUCACCACCCACCCCACCGCAGCUCAGCACCGGGCCCUCCACCCACACGGGAUGUGCUCGCGGCCUGAGCCUCCAGAGCCCCUGCGCCGUGUGGCAGUGGUCGGGGGCACCCACGGCAAUGAGAUGUCUGGCGUCUGCCUGGCGCGGUACUGGCUGCGGGCCCCGGGGGAGCUGCAGAGACCCAGCUUCUCCGCAGUGCCCGUGCUGGCCAACCCAGCGGCCACAGCCGCCUGCCGCCGCUACGUGGACUGUGACCUCAACCGCGCCUUCACCAGCGCCUUCCUCACGGCCAGGGCCCACCCGGAUGACCCAUAUGAGGUGACAAGGGCCCGAGAGCUGAACCAACUGCUGGGACCCAAGGCCUCGGGCCAGGCCUUUGACUUCGUCCUGGACCUGCACAACACCACGGCCAGCAUGGGCACCUGCCUCGUCGCCGAAUCCUCCCACGACGUCUUUGCGAUGCACCUGUGCCACCACCUACAGCUGCAGAGCCCAGAGCUGCCCUGCCGGGUCUUCCUGUACCAGUUGCCUGGAGAAGAGAGCUACAGCGUCCACUCCGUGGCCAAGAGUGGACUGGGCCUGGAGCUGGGCCCCCAGCCUCAGGGGGUGCUGCGGGCUGACCUUCUCGCCAGGAUGAGGGCCUUGGUGGCCGCAGCCCUGGACUUCAUCCAGCUCUUCAACCAGGGCACCGCAUUUCCUGCCUUUGAGAUGGAAGCGUAUAGAAAAGUGAGCAGCGUGGACUUCCCACGCACGGAGACCGGGGACCUGGCAGGCACCGUGCAUCCUCAGCUGCAGGACCGAGACUUCGAGCCCCUGCGGCCUGGAGCACCCAUCUUCCAGAUGUUCGGCGGCAAGGACGUGCUCUAUGAAGGGGAGUCCACUGUGUACCCCGUGUUCAUCAAUGAGGCCGCCUACUACGAGAAGGGCAUUGCCUUCUUCCAGACGGAGAAGCUCACGUUCUCUGUGCCUGCCCUGCCCGGGCUGGCCCCCGCCCCCUCCCCAGCUCCCUAACCCAGGCCACACCUGCCCGGCCUCAGCCUCCCACCUGAGGCAUGAUCCCAAGCUCAGAGGUCCCCUUGCCACCCUCCCCCACCUCCCUGCCUCAGUUUCCCAUUCUAUAAAGUGGAAGAUGUCCAGGGGUCCAUGGUUUGUGUCCUCCAUCUGUGUGGUGCCUGUCUGUGGCCUCAGGAUCUGGGGCAAGUCUGGCCCCGUGUGGCCUUGGACAUGCUGUGUGUCCUGGGGCCAGUGGUAGCUGUCUCUGUGCCCAUGCUUGUCCAGGGAAGAUCCUAUACUGUGAGGGAAACUGAGAAAGACUGUCCUCGAACCAGCAGAAGGGCUUCCGGAGGCCAUGACCAGAGGAGGGUCCCCAACUUCCUACACUCCUGGGGCCAGAGGGUCGGCUAGGAGAGCAGAAGUGUGUGGCCACGUGUGUGGGUGCCCAUGUGUAUGCCCUCCCCAGGUGCUGUGUGUGCACGUGUUUCCGAGAACCAGUGCCUUGGCUGUUCUGGGAGGAUCUGCAUGUGAUGGGCACACAGCCCCACGCGCGUUUCCAGGGCAGGACCAGCCUGGCAGCGGCCUCAGACGGAGCAGCGUGAGGUGGCGUGGAGAAAGGGGCCUGACAGCCCACAGCCAGGUCCCACCGCAGAGACCAGGUGUAAAACCAAGACCCGGCCACUGAGGAGGGAAGGACAGUCCUACCAGGAGACCGAGGACGGAGUGAGCACCUGAGAGCCGGGCUGUGCGUGAAUGAACCAGGAGUCCAGGAGUGGCUGACCACCCCCGCCCCACCCCGCCCCCCGCCGGCAGCG